CCCACACUGGGAAUCAUCCUCUACCCCCCAUCACCCCACACUGGGGAUCAUCCUCUACCCCCCAUCACCCCACACUGGGGAUCAUCCUCUACCCCCCAUCACCCCACACUGGGGAUCAUUCUCUACCCCCCCAUCACCCCACACUGGGGAUCAUCCUCUACCCCCCAUCACCCCACACUGGGAAUCAUCCUCUACCCCCCAUCACCCCACACUGGGAAUCAUCCUCUACCCCCCCCAUCACCCCACACUGGGGAUCAUCCUCUACCCCCCGAUCACCCCACACUGGGGAUCAUUCUCUACCCCCCCCCAUCACCCCACACUGGGGAUCAUCCUCUACCCCCCCAUCACCCCACACUGGGGAUCAUCCUCUACCCCCAUCACCCCACACUGGGGAUCAUCCUCUACCCCCCCAUCACCCCACACUGGGGAUCAUCCUCUACCCCCAUCACCCCACACUGGGGAGGAGAGAGGUUCUCAGAGCACACUGGGCAAGCAGAGAACACCAUGGAGAGGUCCGUGACCUUGCAUCCAGCAGCAGAGGGAAUGGCUACCUCUGAGUGACAGGCAGUACAUCCACUGGACUGACCAUGGCACAGGACUUAGGAUAGUCUGAUCAGGCUUCAGAUACACAUCGAUCACCAUGACCUAAGAAGAAGAGUAAUGUUCAGAGCUGGGACAAAGACCUCUGGAUGCACAGGACAAAUAGCACUGUGUGUGUGUGUGUAUUGGUGGAUGUGUGUAUUGGUGGGUGUGUGUGUGUGUAUUGGUGGGUGUGUGUAUUGGUGUGUGUGUGUGUGUGUAUUGGUGGGUGUGUGUAUCGGUGGGUGUGUGUGUGUGUAUUGGUGGGUGUGUGUAUUGGUGUGUGUGUGUGUGUGUGUGUAUUGGUGUGUGUGUGUAUUGGUGGAUGUGUGUAUUGGUGUGUGUGUGUAUUGGUGGGUGUGUGUAUUGGUGUGUGUGUGUAUUGGUGUGUGUGUGUAUUGGUGGGUGUGUGUGUGUGUGUGUAUUGGUGGGUGUGUGUAUUGGUGGAUGUGUGUAUUGGUGUGUGUGUGUAUUGGUGGGUGUGUGUAUUGGUGGAUGUGUGUAUUGGUGUGUGUGUGUAUUGGUGUGUGUGUGUGUGUGUAUUGGUGGGUGUGUGUAUUGGUGUGUGUGUGUGUGUGUGUGUGUGUGUAUUGGUGGGUGUGUGUAUUGGUGUGUGUGUGUGUGUGUAUUGGUGUGUGUGUGUGUGUGUAUUGGUGGAUGUGUGUAUUGGUGUGUGUGUGUGUGUGUAUUGGUGUGUGUGUGUGUGUGUAUUGGUGUGUGUGUGUGUGUGUAUUGGUGGAUGUGUGUAUUGGUGUGUGUGUGUGUGUGUAUUGGUGGGUGUGUGUGUGUGUAUUGGUGGAUGUGUGUAUUGGUGUGUGUAUUGGUGGGUGUGUGUAUUGGUGGGUGUGUGUAUUGGUGGGUGUGUGUAUUGGUGGGUGUGUGUAUUGGUGGGUGUGUGUAUUGGUGGAUGUGUGUAUUGGUGGGUGUGUGUAUUGGUGGGUGUGUGUAUUGGUGGGUGUGUGUAUUGGUGGGUGGGUGUAUUGGUGGGUGUGUGUAUUGGUGGGUGGGUGUAUUGGUGGGUGUGUGUAUUGGUGGGUGUGUGUAUUGGUGGGUGUGUGUAUUGGUGGGUGUGUGUAUUGGUGGGUGUGUGUAUUGGUGGGUGUGUGUAUUGGUGGGUGUGUGUAUUGGUGGGUGUGUGUAUUGGUGGGUGUGUGUAUUGGUGGGUGUGUGUAUUGGUGGGUGUGUGUAUUGGUGGGUGUGUGUAUUGGUGGGUGUGUGUAUUGGUGGGUGUGUGUAUUGGUGGGUGUGUGUAUUGGUGGGUGUGUGUAUUGGUGGGUGUGUGUAUUGGUGGGUGUGUGUAUUGGUGGGUGUGUGUAUUGGUGGGUGUGUGUAUUGGUGGGUGUGUGUAUUGGUGGGUGUGUGUAUUGGUGGGUGUGUGUAUUGGUGGGUGUGUAUUGGUGUGUGUGUAUUGGUGGGUGUGUGUAUUGGUGGGUGUGUGUAUUGGUGUGUGUGUGUAUUGGUGGGUGUGUGUAUUGGUGGAUGUGUGUAUUGGUGGGUGUGUGUAUUGGUGGGUGUGUGUAUUGGUGGGUGUGUGUAUUGGUGGGUGUGUGUAUUGGUGGGUGUGUGUAUUGGUGGAUGUGUGUAUUGGUGGAUGUGUGUAUUGGUGUGUGUGUGUAUUGGUGGGUGUGUGUAUUGGUGGGUGUGUGUAUUGGUGGGUGUGUGUAUUGGUGGGUGUGUGUAUUGGUGUGUGUGUGUGUGUAUUGGUGUGUGUGUGUAUUGGUGGGUGUGUGUAUUGGUGGGUGUGUGUAUUGGUGGGUGUGUGUAUUGGUGUGUGUGUGUAUUGGUGGGUGUGUGUAUUGGUGGGUGUGUGUAUUGGUGGGUGUGUGUAUUGGUGUGUGUGUGUAUUGGUGGGUGUGUGUAUUGGUGUGUGUGUGUAUUGGUGGGUGUGUGUAUUGGUGGGUGUGUGUAUUGGUGGGUGUGUGUAUUGGUGGAUGUGUGUAUUGGUGUGUGUGUGUAUUGGUGGGUGUGUGUAUUGGUGGGUGUGUGUAUUGGUGGGUGUGUGUAUUGGUGUGUGUGUGUAUUGGUGGGUGUGUGUAUUGGUGGGUGUGUGUAUUGGUGGAUGUGUGUAUUGGUGGAUGUGUGUAUUGGUGGGUGUGUGUAUUGGUGGGUGUGUGUAUUGGUGGAUGUGUGUAUUGGUGUGUGUGUGUAUUGGUGUGUGUGUGUAUUGGUGUGUGUGUGUAUUGGUGGGUGUGUGUAUUGGUGGGUGGGUGUAUUGGUGGGUGUGUGUAUUGGUGGAUGUGUGUAUUGGUGGGUGUGUGUAUUGGUGGGUGUGUGUAUUGGUGGGUGUAUUGGUGGGUGUGUGUAUUGGUGGGUGUGUGUAUUGGUGUGUGUGUGUGUGUGUGUGUGUGUGUGUGUGUAUUGGUGGGUGUGUGUAUUGGUGGGUGUGUGUAUUGGUGGGUGUGUGUAUUGGUGGGUGUGUGUAUUGGUGGGUGUGUGUAUUGGUGGGUGUGUGUGUGUGUGUGUGUAUUGGUGGGUGUGUGAGACAAAGUAUGGUGCUUAUUCCUGUCUGCUCUUUUGUGUGUGAGAGUGAAUAGUUUCUCCAUCUCCCUGUCUUCUCCAUUCUAUUCUUCUCUCUCACUAACAACACACACUGAAUGACGAUGUCAUCCCGGAGUUUCUGUCACUGCCACCUCUACACAGUGCACGCUCUCUCUGUGAAGUCGCUGAAUGAUGAUGUCACUCGGGAGUUUCUGCCACUGCCUGCACCACCACCACCACCACCACUGCCCAGUCACGGUCGAAGGCCGGCGUUGAGACAACGUUUGGAUUCUGUUGUGUGAAUGGUGUGGAUCCCCCAUCCCAUUGUGUCUUUCAGUGCCAUUGUAAAGCACCUAUUGGCCUUGCUUGGCCUUGACUCUGUGGAUAGAGGACACAGUGUUUCUUAAUCAUCGUGUUUAAUAAUGACACAAUGUGGGUUAUACCCAGUACGUUUGGACUAGAGGGUACUACUAACAGAGCCAGUGAGAGAAACUGGAACUUUAGGGACGGAAGGUAGCCUAGUGGUUAAGAGCGUUGGGACAGUAACCGAAAGGUCGGUGGUUCGAAUCCUCGAGCGGACUAGGUGAAAAGAAAUCUGUAGAUCUGCCCUUGAUCAAGACACUUAACGCUGAUUGCUCCUGUAAGUCGCUCUGGAUAAGAGCGUCUGCUAAAUGACGGAAAUGUACUGGGUUGUGAUUAUGUGCCAUCUAUCCUUCGAAGACUGUAUUUGGUAUGUAAUAGUUUUAUACAUAGUUUAUCAACUCUGCCUGUCUCUGUGUUAAGUCAUGUUGUGAUUACAAUGCAGUAAAUGAUUGUGCAAGUGUAACUGAAAGCGCUUGUGUAUGUCUGUGUGUGUUUAAGAUAAGAUAACCAAGGUGUGUUUUGUUUUCUUAUCAAUGUUGUGUAAACCGCUAAACACACAACUUUAUCUCCACUCAUUAGCACUUACACACACACACACACACACACACACACACACACACACACACACACACACACACACACACACACACACACACACACACACACACACACACACACACACACACACACACACACACACACACACACACACAUUUACUGACCUUCAUGCAAACAUACUGGCUCUCAACUUACCACAGCUUUCUCUUUCUUAUGCCUGCAAAACUUGUAGAAGGAUUCGUUACAAUUGUUCAUGUUUAGUGUUGUUUUUUCCACUUCUUUCAGUGUAUUUAUUGUUCAUUGCUUUUGUGAUUUUCUAUGUUAUUUUUUUCUAUGCUUGUUCUCUGUCAUUGUGUUCCUGUGUUCCAUUUAUCUGUCUAUCAAUGAGACGUUGUUUCACUGAGUUUAAGUCAUAGGCGACAGGCAACAAUGGCUUUGUCUAUUUAUGAUCAUCACGUACUGACUGUUACUCUAAGAGAUCUGGUAAUCACACACACACACACACACACACACACACACACACACACACACACACACACACACACACACACACACACACACACACACACAGUCUGAAAACAGACAGUAUCUUGGAAAGUGCAUGUUGGUGAAUACUAAACACACACAAGCACUUUAGCUGUAUUUCUCCUUUAGGUUACUUUGUUAUAAUAACUUGUACCAUAACAGUUUUUUUUUGCAAUAACACUUACCAUCUAUUACAAACCAAUUCCUAAUAAACAAUUUAUUAUUUAACUCCAGAGAUGCAGUUUAACCACAGCAUUUACCUCAAACACUGUUGACCAGACAGCUUCAAUCUCAUUCAAUAAAGUCUACUUAAUCUACACAUCUUCUCCACUGUCCUUCAUUCAGUUUAUAAGGAC
Molecule: long non-coding RNA, 4859 nt
Filed under: Salmo salar (Atlantic salmon)
Lineage: Eukaryota; Metazoa; Chordata; Actinopteri; Salmoniformes; Salmonidae
Description: lncRNA (ENSSSAG00000083445.1)
Rfam family: UnaL2 LINE 3' element (bases 3685-3738)
Source: RNAcentral